RNAcentral lists this ribosomal RNA (505 nucleotides) under uncultured bacterium. Its description in RNAcentral is "bacterial SSU rRNA". It matches the Rfam family "Bacterial small subunit ribosomal RNA", at positions 16 to 518 of the family's 1533-position model. The record is from RNAcentral.
AUCCUGGCUUAGGAUGAACGCUGGCGGCGUGCUUAAUACAUGCAAGUCGAACGAAGCACCUGCGACGGAUCCCUUCGGGGUGAAGAUGCUUGUGACUGAGUGGCGGACGGGUGAGUAACGCGUGGGUAACCUGCCUUAUGCAGGGGGACAACAGUUGGAAACGACUGCUAAUACCGCAUAAGCGCACGGCACCGCAUGGUGCAGUGUGAAAAGAUUUAUCGGCAUAAGAUGGACCCGCGUCUGAUUAGGUAGUUGGUGAGGUAACGGCCCACCAAGCCGACGAUCAGUAGCCGACUUGAGAGAGUGAUCGGCCACAUUGGGACUGAGACACGGCCCAGACUCCUACGGGAGGCAGCAGUAGGGAAUAUUGCACAAUGGGGGAAACCCUGAUGCAAGCGACGCCGCGUGAGUGAUGAAGUAUUUCGGUACGUAAAGCUCUAUCAGCAGGGAAGAUAAUGACGGUACCUGACUAAGAAGCCCCGGCUAACUACGUGCCAGCAGCCGC